This is a long non-coding RNA of Anolis carolinensis (green anole), 4059 nucleotides long. Lineage: Eukaryota; Metazoa; Chordata; Lepidosauria; Squamata; Anolidae. The record is from Ensembl.
CUGCCUCUUCCUCUCUCUCAACUGCCCCACCAGGGAAGGAAGCAAGGAAGGAGGGAAAGCCCCGAUCCACAUCCUUCUCUCCUCCUCCUCCUCCUCCUCCUCCUCCUCCUCCUCCUCCUUCUUCUUCUCUCUCUCUCUCUCUCCCUCUCUCUCUCUCUCUCUCUCAGGUGCCCCACCAAGGAAGGAAGCAAGGAGGGAGGGAGGGAAAAUGGUGAUGCAACCAUCCUUCUCUCCCUCUCCCUCCCACUUCCUCUCUCUCAACUGCCCCACCAGGGAAGGAAGCAAGGAAGGAGGGAGAGAGGGAAAGCCCUGAUCAACAUCCUUCUCUUCCUCUCUCUCAGCUUUCCCAUGCAACACAAGGCACAGAUAUAUCACAAAAGUAAUGGAAGGGAAGGACCUGGAAAGGCUAUUUUUAAAAAAAUAAAUUAUUUUGACAAAGUAAAAGCUUGUUGAGCAAAAGGUAAUUGCAGAACUUUCCCUAACAAAAGUAUUUUGGCUCCUCCGACAAUUUUCUCUCCCACAAAUUGGGGAAACAUUUCAUUCUACACCUGAGAACAAUGAAUGCCAUCUCAUUACAGAAUUGGCCAUUUUUCCCAUCUACAUCUGGAUCAUUACUAAAAAUCCACUUCCCAAGCAGCCCCCGAAACAUAUGAAAAGAAAGCUGUUCCCAGUGCUUUAGACACGUAAAGAAUGCUCUACCCUACACUUGAACCCAACCUAAUGUGAUGAGCACAAUGGGUUACCACAUCUGAAAUGCUUGACUCAGUGGAAUUUAAUCAAUGUGAUGAAGUCCUUUGGCUAUGAAACUCCCUCCCACAAGCAGCUUGAUUGGCUCCUGUCGCACCUCUGCGUUGGUUCACCUUGCUCCAACACACAAACUCCACCACAGCAGGCUUCAGUCUUUUCAGUUUAUUGAAGAAAGAUAGCAAAACUUAUUAAAAAUCAGAAAAAAUAAGUAAAAACAUUUUGCAAGUUCAAUCCUUAAACACAGUUCAAUAAUUUCGUAGAUAUUCGUCCAAAAUCCAAAAAUAGCACAGUAAAUCCAAAGUAACAUGAAUGCAUGAGCUUCAAAAGUUAUUCAAACACAGAUUCGAGGCUUGAAUAAGGCAAGAGUUGAUUCUCCAAAAGCGAGGUUGCUCUGACUAAAAUCUCUCCCCAGAAACAUCUACUUUAAAACCUCUCUACAACUGAAAAACUUCCUUUGAGCUCUAGCCCCCCUAUGCUUGCCUCCGAUUCCCACGGAGCAUCUGAGUCCUGAUUUUAAUUUGAACCUGGAAUCCCUAUCUAACACAAAUUCAUCCUCUUCAUUCCCAUCUGCAUUCUAUUGACAAUUCUCAGAUUCAAGUGAAAGGUCAUCCUUAUCACAAACUUUGGUAGCAUCUCUGCUAGACUCAGAGGUAUCCACAAACCUCUGUUUUUCUAAGCUAUCAACACUUUUCGAAUCCACCUGCACUUCAGAAACAUCAACAUUCCCAGGGACAGACUGCUGUUCAAACUGUAUUUCAGAAACGUCCACAUUUCCAGGGACAAACUGCUUUUCCCCAAAUCCCCUUUCUUCAUCAUCAGGCUGAACCACAACAGCUCCCUCUCUUCUCACUUCAAGGAGCAAAUCAAAGGUUUUUAUUUGGGCAAGGCUUUGGUCAUUAAGUAGUUGUUGCUGGAAAACAUUUAUGAGAAGGGUUACUGUACUUUUAUUGAUAGUGUUAUGCUCUAAAUAUUUUCAAUUUUAGUAGCAUUUUAAUAGGAUAACCUUUAAACAUUAUUUUUGUAAUAAAUAUGGUUUUCCUAAUUGUCAAUCAGCCUGAACAUUGGUAAAGGAAUGGAAGAGGGAACACAUUUUGAUAAGAAGCCAAACUGUGGAUUUGUUUCUCUCCUUCGUUUGAUCUGCCAGAAUGAAAUCUACUGCUUGAGUAGGGACAGUGCAUCACUUUAAACAUUGCUGGGCUACAGCUCUUAUCUGUAGCCAGUACAAUAGGAUAUGAAGAGAGUUGCAGUCCAAUGACACCUGGAGGCUAACCUAAGUCCUAUCUCUAUUCAAUCAUCCAUGUUUGUUUUAUUGUUCAGGGUUCUAUUAUAGGAAGGUGAAAUAUCUAUUUUCUUAACUAAAGUUGACUCAUUAUGAUAAAAUUCAGACAUCACUGUUCAAAUUGACCUUGAUCCCACACAUAACAGAAAGGCUAUUACUUCUAUAUGCAUUUAAUUUAAAUAUAAAUGAUUAGAUUUACAUUUUGCUUGCAUACUUCCUGGUUUCUCCUAUACACUUCCAUGAAUACCAAGAUUGUUUCAGCACAAAGGAUACCCUUACACGGUCAAUUUGUUGGAAUGUUGACCAUGUUCUUUGCCUGAUUUAUUCAGUCAAUCAUAUAAAAAUGCAUUAAAAAGGGUGUUGGUGAUAUCAAAGGCACAGGAAUAUGUUCUGGGUUUUAGUGCAAACUUUUAAAAUGAGCUUUCAAAUCAUGUAAAUUAAGCCAGUUUGCGCCGACUCUCUAGAACUGAUUGUUAAAAUUGUUAAAAAUGCAGAAACCAGAGCAUUACAAGGGGAGCCAGGAGAAGUGAAAGGGAGAAGGAAGAGAUGACUGGAGCAGAUGAGAAAGAAUGUGAGAGAUUAACAGAAGGAAAGGACUGGAUCUUCCAGACUUGAAAGGAAGCGACAGGAAUAAUAAUAAUAAUAAUAAUAAUAAUAAUAAUAAUAAUAAUUUAUUCAUAACCCACCCUUUCUUCUCAAGGAGAAUUAGGGUGAUUUCCAACAUUCAAUGCUGAAAACAAGCAAACAACAAAUCAAAACGGCGGACAAAACAAUCUCAAUAUAAAAUUAUAAAACUAACCAAAAAAAUAACUGAAAAUUAAACUUGAAUAAGCAUUUCACACACAUUUACCACAUGAUAAAGGAACCAAUUGGUAAUUAUUUUGAAUGACACUACUUCAGCUCUCCAAGAUGCUGAAACUAUUUGAGGCAUAAUGUUCAUUACCUAGGACAAUUCCUUUAAAAUUAAGACUAAAAUCCAAAGGAGAUUUGCCAUCCCAUGUGCCUGUGGCCAUCAACUGCCCUAAAACAAAUCUAAACAUAAAAUUCCAGUCAAGAGAAAUACAAAAGAGGAAUGUGCUUUGGAAUGCCCUCCAAAUUUAAAAGAAAUAAAACAAAAAGAAAAGCUGUAGUUCUAGCCUUAUAUGUUGCAGAUAUUGUGAGCCUCAUCAAAAUCUGUUUAUGCAUGCAAGCACAGCAGUCUAUUUUCUCUAGCUUGCAUGCACUUCUGGGAUUAGAAAAUGCCCCUUAAAGCAGUGCAUGUCAAAAGUUUGGAAUUUCAGCUUCAGCUUCUUCAUGCAUGAAUAAACAAUUCUUGUCCUCUUGCUUGCGCUUGCUUUUUCAGAGGACUUUGGAGUUCGAACAUUGACAGUGUGUCCUGACCUCUUUGCCUUUCCAGACUGCAGCUUUGGAACAUGCAACUGCUCUCUUCCACAGCUGCAUCGGCAUCACUCUUUUUGGUUUAUUUUGAACAACUUGCACUGUUGCUAAAUUGUUAGGCUUAGCCCCCCAACCCCUUUCCAUGUUAACAAAAGAUACAGCUGAAGUAAGAUGGCAUUGUUGAAAGGAAAAAUGCCGCUGCUUGAAACUUCAACUUCAGCGAUAGGACAUUUGUCUUGAAUUAAAAUGUUUGAUUUUGAAUACAAUUUUGUUUGGGACUUGUGUUGGCUUUGAGGCUAGGAAAGCAAGAGAAACCCUCUUUGUGCAGUUUUUUCAGUGCCUUACUGUCACUCACUAUACACAUCCAUCUGGUUUACAUCUCAGCUGCACCACCCACAACCAUUGCAACAGAGGGAGAUGAGAUGAAAGGGUCAUUCCAUGAACCCUGCUAAAAUACCAUCUUUUUGAAGGAUCUUCUUUUAGCUGUCAUCAACAGGAGUCAUUCCAGGAGAUGUUGAGAAGCAGGAUCAUUUUACCAUGAAUGCUUAUUUAUUUCUCCCUUUUUCUCCAUAUCACUUUUUCUCUUUUGCUACAUCUUAUUAGGUUGUAAGCCUAUUAGCAGAUGUGAUUAGUUGUUUUUGUGAAUUAUUGCCAUG